AUUUACCCUCAACACAAGGAAGGGAUAGAUUACCAGCCUUAUCCUCUUCCUACUUUCUCUCAGCCCGUCUCCAAAUCACCGCAGGAUCCUUACGUGUACAUUCUACCAUGCACAGUCCUAAUGAUGAAAAACCAUCUUUUUUUCAGCUGUAGUGCCAGUUAUCAGAUAUGAAUGUCCACCUCUGCAUCUGCCUCUCAGAGUUCAUGAAGGGCCACAAAAAAGCUCAGAAAACAAAGAUCAACAUAGACCAACACACUGAAUCAUCAACCCACCAUGAGUCUUCUUUUGACAGUAGAUAGGUGCUCAUUUGUCCACUGAAGUCUGCCUUGCCAACCCAAUCAGUGAUACAAGUGGCAUUCACUACAAUCAGCUGAAGAAACCCUACAGGUUAAGGAGCUUCUUAACUAGACAACAAACAUAUGCUGGAGCUGAUGCCGAACUGUUCAUUCUCCUUUCAUUAAGGAGGGUAGGGAAUCCUUAGACACACCAAUAGUGCUCAGAUAAUUGGUGAUACGACCUCUGGAAAAGUUCUGGAAUUUAAUGGGCUUACAAGGUUUUACAGAGCAGAAGCACUGAUGAUGGUUCACUUAUUAACUAAGAGAGUGUCCAAACAACUAAAUAACUGGGCAUUAUCAUGCCUACUUCUGGAUGAAUACUAAUCAUCAGAACAAUCCUGAUAAUGCUGUCAUUGUGAAAGUGCUAAUCCCAUUUUGCAGAUGAAUAAACUAAGGGAGAAAGUUUAAGUGACAACAGUAAGUCAACAUCAGAGCUAGGAUUAAAAGAAUGGUAUAUUUUAGAAAAGUUAACAGAAUUAACACACACCAGUAAGGACCACAACUGGCUACCAUUUCCUCAGUUUCUCUUCUACUAGUAAUGCUCCAGAUACUAUUGGCUUUCCAAGGAUCACAGGGAUCCCACUCCACCAACAAACAUCCAGGUAUUGUUGCUCACCAACUGACUGCAAAUUACUUGUCCCACAUACUGCUUGUGAUUUCAUGUCAUCCAGAAGCCAGCCUUGGUCUGUACCUCAUUGAACACAAUACUCAAGGCAUCUUGAACAGACCAUUGCUUCUCUUUGAUGGACUACAGACAUCCUUUUCUCACCGACUUGUUAUCAAGCUACUCAGAAUCUACUCUUUCAAGCUUCUCAUUUUCAAUUAUACAACUACAAUUAAAUUAGGUGAACGCUAAUCAACAUAUUCAAACAAUUACACAUGCCAUGUAAGUUGACAGCUGGCAACUAUGCUACCUCAUGUUUUAUUGAUUGCAAUGUAGGGAUACUGGCUCCUCAGCUUGUAAUCAAAUAUUGCCUCAACAAUUCACAUCACAUGAUAUCAACUUGAUCAGAACUAAGAAGGUUUCUUACAUAUCACUGCAUUUGUUAAGCUGUAUGUUUUGUCUCCUCUAACAUGUUGUUCUGGGGACAGAGGAAUAGAAGGAAAUACUAACAGAGAUAGUUUUGCUUGAAUGAUCAAAUUACAGUCACCUCUGCCCACUGGCAAUUCUUAGUGUUACUAAUUAAUAAUGUUAUUUUACUAUUCUUACAGUUUUCCCAGAGAUCUCAGACAUCUUCACACAUACUAGCAGCCUUCUGAAGGGGUGUUAUCUUCCUUUCACAGACAUCAUAGUCAAGCACAGAAUAGUAUAGUGACCUGUGUCACAGAACAAGCCAACAGCAAACUAAAAACCCAUAUUAGGGGCCCAUUCGCUCUGUUUAACAAACCACAAGACAUGCAAGGAGUCUUGAUCUCGGACUCUAAGAGCAGCUAUACUCUAAAUGCUGGAAAGAGAGUGACUGGGGCUCCUGAAACCUAUAAAGAACAAUUUAAAUCAUCUUCUGAUUAGAUGAUUUAGUGAGACGGCAAUUCUUACCU
This is a long non-coding RNA of Pezoporus flaviventris, 1874 nucleotides long. RefSeq lists it as uncharacterized. The record is from RefSeq and is a predicted model, not a curated record. Lineage: Eukaryota; Metazoa; Chordata; Aves; Psittaciformes; Psittacidae. The transcript has 3 exons.